GAUCCUAGCUCAGGAUGAACGCCUAGCGACAGGCUUAACACAUGCAAGUCGAGGGGCAGCACAGGGUAGCAAUACUUGGGUGGCGACCGGCGCACGGGUGAGUAACGCGUAUGCAACUUACCUAUCAGAGGGGGAUAGCCCGGCGAAAGUCGGAUUAAUACCCCAUGAAGCAGGGGUCCCGCAUGGGAAUAUUUGUUAAAGAUUCAUCGCUGAUAGAUAGGCAUGCGUUCCAUUAGG
This 237-nucleotide ribosomal RNA is filed under the name uncultured bacterium. RNAcentral describes it as "partial 16S ribosomal RNA". It matches the Rfam family "Bacterial small subunit ribosomal RNA", at positions 15 to 245 of the family's 1533-position model. The record is from RNAcentral.